AGUAAUUUUGUCAGUUCUUGCUGCUUCUUGAAGGCUGUCUUAUAUGCUAUGGUCUCCAAACCAAUUGACAUGUUCCAUCAACGUUAAAAAAAACCUGUUUGAAGAGUUUUUCAGGGGAUUAAUCAUCCCUUUUCUUCGUUUCUCUAAUCCCAUUUCCCCAUUGUGUUUUGGGUUUAUUGCAGGUCAGGCUUUUGGCCUCUUUCACA
RNAcentral lists this unclassified non-coding RNA (206 nucleotides) under Hevea brasiliensis (rubber tree). Lineage: Eukaryota; Viridiplantae; Streptophyta; Magnoliopsida; Malpighiales; Euphorbiaceae. The record is from RNAcentral.